CGGACAAUAGGGCGCAAGCCUGAUCCAGCCAUGCCGCGUGCAGGAAGAAG
This 50-nucleotide ribosomal RNA is filed under the name uncultured bacterium. RNAcentral's name for it is "partial 16S ribosomal RNA". The record is from RNAcentral.